This 146-nucleotide small nucleolar RNA is filed under the name Patagioenas fasciata monilis. RNAcentral's name for it is "Small nucleolar RNA SNORA46". It matches the Rfam family "Small nucleolar RNA SNORA46". Rfam says of the family: ACA46 is a member of the H/ACA class of snoRNA that guide the sites of modification of uridines to pseudouridines. Lineage: Eukaryota; Metazoa; Chordata; Aves; Columbiformes; Columbidae. The record is from Rfam by way of RNAcentral.
AGCACUAUUUUUAAACCUGUUGGUGGAAUUUCCUGACCACCGUGGGUUACGCUGUAGUGCUAAAGAAUCUCCUGGUUCUUUAGAGCACAGCUGACCUUGUUCUUUGCUCCGUUCAGCUGAUGCUCCUCUGUAGCUAAGGAACAGAA